UAGAGUUUGAUCAUGGCUCAGAUUGAACGCUGGCGGCAGGCCUAACACAUGCAAGUCGAGCGGUAACAUGUCUAGCAUGCUAGAUGAUGACGAGCGGCGGACGGGUGAGUAAUGCUUGGGGAUCUGCCUUAGAGUGGAGGAUAACCAUUGGAAACGAUGGCUAAUACUGCAUAGUAUCUGCGGAUUAAAGGGGGCUUAGGCUCUUGCUUUAAGAUGAACCCAAGUGGGAUUAGCUAGUUGGUGAGGUAAUGGCUCACCAAGGCGACGAUCCCUAGCUGGUCUGAGAGGAUGAUCAGCCACACUGGAACUGAGACACGGUCCAGACUCCUACGGGAGGCAGCAGUGGGGAAUAUUGCACAAUGGGGGAAACCCUGAUGCAGCCAUGCCGCGUGUAUGAAGAAGGCCUUCGGGUUGUAAAGUACUUUCAGUUGUGAGGAAGGCGUUAAAGUUAAUAGCUUUAGCGUUUGACGUUAGCAACAGAAGAAGCACCGGCUAACUCCGUGCCAGCAGCCGCGGUAAUACGGAGGGUGCGAGCGUUAAUCGGAAUUACUGGGCGUAAAGCGCAUGCAGGCGGUCUGUUAAGCAAGAUGUGAAAGCCCGGGGCUCAACCUCGGAACAGCAUUUUGAACUGGCAGACUAGAGUCCUGUAGAGGGGGGUAGAAUUUCA
RNAcentral lists this ribosomal RNA (667 nucleotides) under uncultured Vibrionaceae bacterium. RNAcentral's name for it is "bacterial SSU rRNA". It matches the Rfam family "Bacterial small subunit ribosomal RNA", at positions 1 to 671 of the family's 1533-position model. Lineage: Bacteria; Pseudomonadati; Pseudomonadota; Gammaproteobacteria; Vibrionales; Vibrionaceae. The record is from RNAcentral.